CAGGCUUAACACAUGCAAGUCGAGCGGGGAAAAGUAGCUUGCUACUUUACCUAGCGGCGGACGGGUGAGUAAUGCUUAGGAAUCUGCCUAUUAGUGGGGGACAACAUUUCGAAAGGAAUGCUAAUACCGCAUACGUCCUACGGGAGAAAGCAGGGGACCUUCGGGCCUUGCGCUAAUAGAUGAGCCUAAGUCGGAUUAGCUAGUUGGUGGGGUAAAGGCCUACCAAGGCGACGAUCUGUAGCGGGUCUGAGAGGAUGAUCCGCCACACUGGGACUGAGACACGGCCCAGACUCCUACGGGAGGCAGCAGUGGGGAAUAUUGGACAAUGGGGGCAACCCUGAUCCAGCCAUGCCGCGUGUGUGAAGAAGGCCUUUUGGUUGUAAAGCACUUUAAGCGAGGAGGAGGCUCCCAGUAUUAAUACUACUGGAGAGUGGACGUUACUCGCAGAAUAAGCACCGGCUAACUCUGUGCCAGCAGCCGCGGUAAUACAGAGGGUGCAAGCGUUAAUCGGAUUUACUGGGCGUAAAGCGUGCGUAGGUGGCCAAUUAAGUCAAAUGUGAAAUCCCCGAGCUUAACUUGGGAAUUGCAUUCGAUACUGGUUGGCUAGAGUAUGGGAGAGGAUGGUAGAAUUCCAGGUGUAGCGGUGAAAUGCGUAGAGAUCUGGAGGAAUACCGAUGGCGAAGGCAGCCAUCUGGCCUA
Molecule: ribosomal RNA, 699 nt
Filed under: Acinetobacter sp.
Lineage: Bacteria; Pseudomonadati; Pseudomonadota; Gammaproteobacteria; Moraxellales; Moraxellaceae
Also listed under: 1 other name
Description: bacterial SSU rRNA
Rfam family: Bacterial small subunit ribosomal RNA
Source: RNAcentral